GCCGGGGUGGUGAAACUGGUAGACACGCCAGACUCAAAAUCUGGUGGGCUUACGCUCGUGCCGGUUCGAGUCCGGCCCUCGGUA
Molecule: transfer RNA, 84 nt
Filed under: Sulfurimonas autotrophica
Lineage: Bacteria; Pseudomonadati; Campylobacterota; Epsilonproteobacteria; Campylobacterales; Sulfurimonadaceae
Description: tRNA-Leu
Rfam family: tRNA
About the family: Transfer RNA (tRNA) molecules are approximately 80 nucleotides in length. Their secondary structure includes four short double-helical elements and three loops (D, anti-codon, and T loops).
Source: RNAcentral